This 253-nucleotide ribosomal RNA is filed under the name uncultured bacterium. RNAcentral's name for it is "partial 16S ribosomal RNA". It matches the Rfam family "Bacterial small subunit ribosomal RNA", at positions 524 to 776 of the family's 1533-position model. The record is from RNAcentral.
UACGUAGGUGGCGAGCGUUAUCCGGAUUUACUGGGUGUAAAGGGUGAGUAGGCGGGAAGUCAAGUCAGAUGUGAAAUGCCGCGGCUUAACUGCGGAACUGCAUUUGAAACUGAUUUUCUUGAGAGUCGGAGAGGCAAUCGGAAUUCCUAGUGUAGCGGUGAAAUGCGUAGAUAUUAGGAGGAACACCAGUGGCGAAGGCGGAUUGCUGGACGACAACUGACGCUGAGACACGAAAGCGUGGGGAGCAAACAGG